UACGUAGGUGGCAAGCGUUGUUCGGAUUUAUUGGGCGUAAAGGGCAUGUAGGUGGUUGGAUAAGUGUGAAUUGAAAGACCGAAGCUUAACUUCGAGUUUGGUUUGCAAACUAUCCGACUAGAGUGCAGAAGGGGAAACUGGAAUUCCGCGUGUAGGGGUGAAAUCUGUAGAUAUGCGGAAGAAUACUUAUGGCGAAGGCAAGUUUCUGGUCUGUAACUGACGCUGAAAUGCGAAAGUGUGGGGAGCAAACAGG
Molecule: ribosomal RNA, 253 nt
Filed under: uncultured bacterium
Lineage: Bacteria
Description: partial 16S ribosomal RNA
Rfam family: Bacterial small subunit ribosomal RNA
Source: RNAcentral